RNAcentral lists this ribosomal RNA (449 nucleotides) under uncultured bacterium. RNAcentral describes it as "bacterial SSU rRNA". It matches the Rfam family "Bacterial small subunit ribosomal RNA", at positions 329 to 794 of the family's 1533-position model. The record is from RNAcentral.
UGCCAGACUCCUACGGGAGGCAGCAGUGGGGAAUAUUGCACAAUGGGGGAAACCCUGAUGCAGCGACGCCGCGUGAGCGAUGAAGUAUUUCGGUAUGUAAAGCUCUAUCAGCAGGGAAGAAAAUGACGGUACCUGACUAAGAAGCCCCGGCUAACUACGUGCCAGCAGCCGCGGUAAUACGUAGGGGGCAAGCGUUAUCCGGAUUUACUGGGUGUAAAGGGAGCGUAGACGGCUGUGCAAGCCAGAUGUGAAAGCCCGGGGCUCAACCCCGGGACUGCAUUUGGAACUGUGUGGCUGGAGUGUCGGAGAGGCAGGCGGAAUUCCUAGUGUAGCGGUGAAAUGCGUAGAUAUUAGGAGGAACACCAGUGGCGAAGGCGGCCUGCUGGACGAUGACUGACGUUGAGGCUCGAAAGCGUGGGGAGCAAACAGGAUUAGAUACCCUGGUAAAU